Long non-coding RNA from Passer domesticus (house sparrow), 299 nucleotides. RefSeq lists it as uncharacterized. Lineage: Eukaryota; Metazoa; Chordata; Aves; Passeriformes; Passeridae. The record is from RefSeq and is a predicted model, not a curated record. The transcript is spliced from 3 exons.
UUUUACAGCUGUGUCUGAAGGGACAACUCCACCAACUCCUACCUUGGAUGCUGCACAAAAGCCCAGCUCCCAUGGCAGGGGUCCACCCACAGGAGAGACCAAAGACAUGGCAGGCAAGAAAUUCCAGGACCCAUUAGAAAUCGUGUGGCAAAUGCUGAAGGAACGUCUGCAGAAAAGACAAGAGAUGGACAUAGUGCUUCAGUGGAAGGUGGCAUUUCUUGAAGGAAGCACUCCAUCUUCGGUGCCAGCCCCUGCUGCAGGAAGGAAGGCAAAGCCAGACACGGGCACAGGCACAGCAG